Molecule: ribosomal RNA, 363 nt
Filed under: uncultured bacterium
Lineage: Bacteria
Description: bacterial SSU rRNA
Rfam family: Bacterial small subunit ribosomal RNA
Source: RNAcentral
GACGAACGCUGGCGGCGUGCUUAACACAUGCAAGUCACGGGGGCCCGCGAGGGCAACCGGCGAACGGGUGAGUAACACGUGGGCAAUCUGCCCUUCACUCUGGGACAAGCCCUGGAAACGGGGUCUAAUACCGGAUAACACUGCCAUGGGCAUCUGUGGUGGUUAAAAGCUCCGGCGGUGAAGGAUGAGCCCGCGGCCUAUCAGCUUGUUGGUGAGGUAAUGGCUCACCAAGGCGACGACGGGUAGCCGGCCUGAGAGGGCGACCGGCCACACUGGACUGAGACACGGCCCAGACUCCACGGGAGGCAGCAGGUGGGGAAUCUUGCGCAAUGGGNGAAAGCCUGACGCAGCGACGCCGCGUGA